This is a regulatory RNA element of 164 nucleotides. It matches the Rfam family "glmS glucosamine-6-phosphate activated ribozyme aptamer". From Rfam's summary of the family: This entry contains a glucosamine-6-phosphate activated ribozyme that is found in the mRNA for GlmS. GlmS is an enzyme that uses fructose-6-phosphate and glutamine to generate glucosamine-6-phosphate. The ribozyme catalyses self cleavage of the glmS mRNA that is thought to regulate GlmS activity. The record is from Rfam.
UUUCUGUUUUUAGCGCCAGAACUUGUAAAUUUAAUAUAAAUUCAAGUUGACGAGGUCAGAGUUAAUCGAAUAUUCGGCGGGUGCUCUGCGGUGUAUUUACCAUCGUAAAAUUUCUUCAAAACUUAGAAGUGAUUCUUUGAACAAAGGGAAAUUUGAGUAAAUAA